This is an RNA transcript of Budorcas taxicolor (takin), 1787 nucleotides long. It is a transcript of the gene named phosphomannomutase 1, with no coding region annotated. The record is from RefSeq and is a predicted model, not a curated record. Lineage: Eukaryota; Metazoa; Chordata; Mammalia; Artiodactyla; Bovidae. The transcript is spliced from 10 exons.
AAAAUCCGAGGGAAGCCUGGCGUGCUGCAUUUCUUGGGGUCCGGAAAGAGUCGGACACGACAGAACGACUAAACUAACUGAACUGACGGAACCUGCGAGGUUUUGCCCCUCCCGAUGCCACGGCCCUUCUCCGUUUAGUGCCAUCAGAAUUCUCGUCCCACGUCAGCGCAGGCCCGGUGUCGGCCGCAUCCGGGCCACGCCCCUUCCCAAUUUGGCGCUCUCCGAUCUGCCUGCUGGCCCCGCCCCCUUAGGCCCCGCCCCGUCCGUCCUCUAUCCCAAGCGGCUCCGGCGGCCCCAGCCAUAGUCUCAGCUGGGCGCCGGGAGCUGCAACCAUGGCCGUCACCGCUGAGGGCGCCCGCAGGAAGGAGCGCGUCCUCUGCCUGUUUGACGUGGACGGGACCCUCACGCCGGCUCGCCAGAAAAUCGACCCAGAGGUGGCUGCCUUCCUGCAGAAGUUGCGAAGUAGGGUGCAGAUCGGUGUGGUGGGCGGCUCUGACUACUCGAAAAUUGCCGAGCAGCUGGGAGAGGGGGAUGAAGUUAUCGAGAAGUUUGAUUAUGUGUUUGCUGAGAACGGGACAGUGCAGUAUAAGCAUGGACGGCUGCUCUCCAAGCAGACCAUCCAGAACCACCUGGGGGAAGAGCUCCUGCAGGACUUGAUUAACUUCUGCCUCCGCUACAUGGCCCUGCUCAGACUGCCCAAGAAGCGUGGGACCUUCAUCGAGUUCCGGAACGGCAUGCUGAACAUCUCGCCCAUCGGCCGGAGCUGCACCCUGGAGGAGCGAAUUGAGUUCUCCGAACUAGACAAGACGCCUCAGAGGACAGGGUCUGAGGACAUUGAGGCCAGAGAGCAUGUGAACCAGCCUGAGGACACCGUGCUGGUCUCUGCUAAGGCUGGACUUGGUGGCCAGAUGGGGGCUGCCCACCUUGGUGCCUCGGCCACAGCGAGCCUGCCGUCUGCUCCCGCGACCAUGGCCCCCGUCAGCUCAGCAGCUAAGACGCUCCCCUCCAGGCCCAGUGCAGCUGUUCCCCUCUGUGGCCCCAGCAAGGCCAGGCUGGGGAAUCCCUGGGCUGAAGGAGAAGAUCCGGGAGAAGUUCGUGGAAGCCCUGAAAACCGAGUUUGCCGGCAAAGGACUGAGAUUCUCCCGUGGAGGCAUGAUCAGCUUUGACGUCUUCCCCGAGGGCUGGGACAAGCGCUACUGCCUGGACAGCCUGGACCAGGACUGCUUCGACACCAUCCAUUUCUUUGGGAACGAGACCAGCCCUGGCGGGAACGACUUUGAGAUCUACACUGACCCCCGGACGGUCGGCCACAGCGUGGUGUCGCCGCAGGACACGGUGCAGCGAUGCCGUGAGCUCUUCUUCCCAGAGACAGCCCACGAGGCGUGACCAGGGCCCACACCUGCCCUUCGGGACUUCAGGGAGCUCUGUCCACGCCAAGAGAGCCCCUGGCCCCAGCACUGGGGGUGCCAGGCCCCUCCUCUGGCCCAGCACCCCUGCCUCGUGUUACCUACUGAAGGCCCAGCUCUACGGGCCCAGGGUCUGUGUGGACAGCCACCCGCAGCUGGUCAGCUCCUGGUGGGCCUGGCUUCCAGCCUUCAGCCCGACCCAAUGGCCCUGGCUGCAGCUGCUGCCUGGACUCUUGGCAGAACAGGUCUCUGUCUACGCGGGAAGCGUGUGCGAAUGUUGGUACGAGAUAGAGCCCGCCCUGCCUGCCUGCCUGCCCUCCAUGGGGUGCAGAGCAGUGGGGACCAUGCACAUUCGUGAGAACUUUAUCUCAUGGAUAUUAA